Long non-coding RNA from Benincasa hispida (wax gourd), 931 nucleotides. RefSeq lists it as uncharacterized. Lineage: Eukaryota; Viridiplantae; Streptophyta; Magnoliopsida; Cucurbitales; Cucurbitaceae. The record is from RefSeq and is a predicted model, not a curated record.
AAAAAAAAGAAAACAAAUCCAAAAAAAUGUGAGAUGGAGACCAAAAGAGAAGAAACGAAAGCGAGGGCCAAUGGGCAAUGGGCGACGGGCGACAAACAUAAGCAUAGAGAGUGGAUUUUGGCGUUAGUUUGGUGAGACAACAACGUCUUCAGACUCAAGAGAAGGACGUAUGUGCUGACAAGCUUCGCCGAAAGAUAAGAAGCCCCUCUACUUUUUUUCUUUCUUUUCAAACAAUUAUUAUUCAAUUGGGAAUCCAUUGAUUUUUUCCCCUCGUUCAAUUGCGUUAUCUCCUUGGCAUUUUUCAGCAGCAAAUCCAUUAUUCAUUAGUUUAAAAUACAUCGUUUGGAUUUGAUUCUUAAUGGUUUUUUUUUUUUUUUUUUUUUUUUUUUUUUGGAAUAUGAAUAGACAAAGCGAAUGGUCCAAAAUGCACACCAAGUGUUUGUGAAAAUGUUUGCGUCAUUUUUAUAUGCAUAUGGCGUUGGUUGGGCGGGCAGGGGGAAAAAAACGUACUGCCAGCGCCGCCCAUGGGCGGAUUAGUCAUCUACCCUGACUCAUCUCCACAUUAUACACGAAGGAAUCCGAUGUAGUAGGUGAGUGAUUCUUCUGCAUGGAGCAAUUGGAGAAUGACACGUGGUGACGAAGGGCAUGAGUGACCCUUGAGUGGAGAAUAACUUGGGGGAACCCUAAGAUGAGAGGGUUGGUGCUUUUAUGGAAUAAAAUAACAUGUUAUGCUCUGAUCAAAUGCAUUAUAAAAGCAAGGGGUUGGUUGGUUGGAACCUCCCACAGACACAACAACACAACAACAAAGAUGAUGACAGAUUCUGCUUUCAACUUUCAAUUCACCACCCUCUUCAUAUUUACACAAACCAACCAAGCUUGUAAUCUACACCUUUAUUUAUUUAUUAUUUAUUAUUAUUAUUUUGUAUGUUCA